GGAGGAAAGCAGGGGAUCGCAAGACCUUGCGCUCAUUGAGCGGCCGAUGCCUGAUUAGCUAGUUGGUGAGGUAAAGGCUUACCAAGGCGACGAUCAGUAGCUGGUCUGAGAGGACGACCAACCACACUGGGACUGAGACACGGCCCAGACUCCUACGGGAGGCAGCAGUGGGGAAUUUUGGACAAUGGGGGAAACCCUGAUCCAGCCAUGCCGCGUGAGUGAAGAAGGCCUUCGGGUUGUAGAGCUCUUUCAGCCGGAACGAAACGGUCACGGCUAAUACCUGUGACUACUGACGGUACCGGAAGAAGAAGCACCGGCUAACUACGUGCCAGCAGCCGCGGUGAUACGUAGGGUGCGAGCGUUAAUCGGAAUUACUGGGCGUAAAGCGUGCGCAGGCGGUUUUGUAAG
This 408-nucleotide ribosomal RNA is filed under the name uncultured beta proteobacterium. Its description in RNAcentral is "bacterial SSU rRNA". It matches the Rfam family "Bacterial small subunit ribosomal RNA", at positions 198 to 587 of the family's 1533-position model. Lineage: Bacteria; Pseudomonadati; Pseudomonadota; Betaproteobacteria. The record is from RNAcentral.